GGUGCUCAUUCUUUUGCGUCCGGCGUCGCAGGCUUUGGGAGAUGAGGCGAGUAGGCCGCAGUUGCCCAUCGCACGCAAUCCGUUGCCAUCCUCUGUCGUUCUCAUCGCGAUUUAUGUUUCGGGUCUGGAUGUCUUACCUCGAGAGCCUUCCUUUCCAGGUAGCAGUGCAAGGAUGCUGGACCAGAUGCCACAAAUGGCUUUGCUUGUCGUAAUCUGGCUUGGAAUGGAAAAAAAGCAAGAGCACUGAUGCCUUUGGGAGAAUAGGAGCAGCCCAAGUACAGAGAAGGUGAAAUGGUCUUGUGCCUAUGAGAUGGAAAGUACCUUUCCCUUGAGGUUUGUAGAGUUCUGUUCAGAACACAGAUACCAUCUGGAGUCCUGUUGAAACAAUCAGGCUAUCAGCAAAGUCUACAAGGAGUGGUUAUACAGAGUGGGAAGAUUCCUGUUCUUCUGAAGGGGAUCUUCAAGUGGAAGAAACAGUUGACAUGUCUUGGAUAAUGUGUCUUCAAAAGCAUUUUGGAACUUGUCAUGCAACAAACUGACAAAAAACAAGAAGUUACUAGCAAAUUUUCUGGGAUCUGCGGAGCCAUGGUUGAAACAGCUACAUGUCCAUACCUGUGUUUUAUUAAAGGAUUUUUGUUCAUUUUCAUGA
This is a long non-coding RNA of Sceloporus undulatus (fence lizard), 649 nucleotides long. RefSeq lists it as uncharacterized. The record is from RefSeq and is a predicted model, not a curated record. The transcript is spliced from 6 exons. Lineage: Eukaryota; Metazoa; Chordata; Lepidosauria; Squamata; Phrynosomatidae.